Molecule: ribosomal RNA, 216 nt
Filed under: Campeiostachys nutans
Lineage: Eukaryota; Viridiplantae; Streptophyta; Magnoliopsida; Poales; Poaceae
Description: Elymus nutans partial small subunit ribosomal RNA
Rfam family: Eukaryotic small subunit ribosomal RNA (bases 40-216)
Source: RNAcentral
GGGUUAGUAGGUUGGUCAUGCCUCUGGUAUGCACUGGUCUCACUGAUUCCUCCUUCCUGAUGAGCCGUAAUGCCAUUAAUUUGGUGUUGCGGGGAAUUUGGACUGUUACUUUGAAAAAAUUAGAGUGUUUAAAGCAAGCUAACGCUUGAAUACAUUAGCAUGGAAUAAUGAAAUAGGACGUUCGAUCCUAUUCUGUUGGUUUCUAGGCGUAGAGUA